Molecule: small RNA, 453 nt
Filed under: Pongo abelii (Sumatran orangutan)
Lineage: Eukaryota; Metazoa; Chordata; Mammalia; Primates; Hominidae
Description: retained intron
Source: RNAcentral
AGUUAUUUAUCAGAGAGUCUGAUGCUGAGAGAGAACAGAACUUGCCUGUCACAGUUACUAGAUAUAAUGAAAAGCAUGAGAAACUUAGUAAAAAAGUAUGAACCACCCAGAUCUGAAGAAGUUGCUGUUCUGAAACAGAAGUUGGAGCGAUGCCAUUCUGCUGAGCUUGCACUUAACGUAAUCACGAAGAAGAGGAAAGGCUAUGAAGAUGAUGAUUACGUCUCAAAGAAAUCCAAACAUGAGGAGGAAGAAUGGACUGACGACGACCUGGUAGAAUCUCUCUAACCAUUUGAAGUUGAUUUCUCAAUGCUAACUAACUAAUCAAGAGAAGUAGGAAGCAUAUCAAACGUUUAACUUUAUUUAAAAAGUAUAAUGUGAAAACAAAAUAUAUUAAAACUUUUCUAUUGUUUUCUUCCCCUUUCAUAGUAACUUUAUGUAAAAUAAACCAUCUUC